GGGAGCUUGCUCCCCGCUGACGAGCGGCGGACGGGUGAGUAAUGCAUAGGAAACUGCCCAGUAGUGGGGGAUAGCCCGGGGAAACCCGGAUUAAUACCGCAUACGUCCUUCGGGAGAAAGCAGGGGCUCUUCGGACCUUGCGCUAUUGGAUGUGCCUAUGUCGGAUUAGCUAGUUGGUGGGGUAAAGGCCUACCAAGGCGACGAUCCGUAGCUGGUCUGAGAGGAUGAUCAGCCACAUCGGGACUGAGACACGGCCCGAACUCCUACGGGAGGCAGCAGUGGGGAAUAUUGGACAAUGGGGGCAACCCUGAUCCAGCCAUGCCGCGUGUGUGAAGAAGGCUUUCGGGUUGUAAAGCACUUUCAGUGAGGAGGAAAAGUGGGUCCCUAAUACGGGCUCGCCUUGACGUUACUCACAGAAGAAGCACCGGCUAACUCCGUGCCAGCAGCCGCGGUAAUACGGAGGGUGCAAGCGUUAAUCGGAAUUACUGGGCGUAAAGCGCGCGUAGGUGGUUUGAUAAGCGAGAUGUGAAAGCCCCGGGCUUAACCUGGGAACGGCAUUUCGAACUGUCAGGCUAGAGUGUGGUAGAGGGUAGUGGAAUUUCCUGUGUAGCGGUGAAAUGC
RNAcentral lists this ribosomal RNA (621 nucleotides) under Marinobacter sp. YIM 94028. RNAcentral describes it as "bacterial SSU rRNA". It matches the Rfam family "Bacterial small subunit ribosomal RNA", at positions 74 to 689 of the family's 1533-position model. The record is from RNAcentral. Lineage: Bacteria; Pseudomonadati; Pseudomonadota; Gammaproteobacteria; Pseudomonadales; Marinobacteraceae.